AACGAACGCUGGCGGCAUGCCUAACACAUGCAAGUCGAACGAGACCUUCGGGUCUAGUCGCGCACGGGUGCGUAACGCGUGGGAACCUGCCUUUAGGUUCGGAAUAACUCAGAGAAAUUUGAGCUAAUACCGGAUGAUGUCUUCGGACCAAAGAUUUAUCGCCUUUAGAUGGGCCCGCGUUGGAUUAGCUAGUUGGUGGGGUAAAGGCCUACCAAGGCGACGAUCCAUAGCUGGUCUGAGAGGAUGAUCAGCCACACUGGGACUGAGACACGGCCCAGACUCCUACGGGAGGCAGCAGUGGGGAAUAUUGGACAAUGGGCGAAAGCCUGAUCCAGCAAUGCCGCGUGAGUGAUGAAGGCCUUAGGGUUGUAAAGCUCUUUUACCCGAGAUGAUAAUGACAGUAUCGGGAGAAUAAGCUCCGGCUAACUCCGUG
Molecule: ribosomal RNA, 433 nt
Filed under: uncultured bacterium
Lineage: Bacteria
Description: partial 16S ribosomal RNA
Rfam family: Bacterial small subunit ribosomal RNA
Source: RNAcentral